This 2867-nucleotide ribosomal RNA is filed under the name Candidatus Moraniibacteriota bacterium. Its description in RNAcentral is "partial 23S ribosomal RNA". It matches the Rfam family "Bacterial large subunit ribosomal RNA", at positions 1 to 2243 of the family's 2925-position model. The record is from RNAcentral. Lineage: Bacteria; Candidatus Moraniibacteriota.
AAACGGUUACGGCAUAUGGUGAAUGCCUUGGCUAAAACAAGCGAUGAAGGACGCGAUAGUCGGCGAAACGCUUCGGGGAGCUGGCAAAUAAGCUUUGAUCCGGAGAUUUCCGAAUGCGGCAACGCGGUAGAGUGAACCUCUAUCAAUCGUCUGGUUUCCUGGUUGGCUGGAAUCUUGUGGGUUGGUUAUUUAGUAAUUAGUUUCUUGGUUUAAAAUCUUAAAGGAUAAAUAAAACCAGCGAACUAUAAAGCUAGAAACCAAUGAACUAGAAUACCAGAUAACUAGAAAACCAGACGGUGGCAGACCCGUCGAAUUGAAACAUCUUAGUAGGCGGAGGAAAAGAAAACAACAGUGAUUCCCCAAGUAGUGGCGAGCGAAAGGGGAAAAGCCUAAACCGAUCUAGUUUCCUGGUUGGCUGGAAUCUUGUGGGCUGGUUAUUUAGUGACUGGUUUCCUGGUUUAAAUCUUAAAUGAUAAAUAAACCUAGUGAAUCAGUAAAUUAAAAACUAGCAAACUAGAGCACCAGAUAACUAGAAAACUAGAUCGGGGUUGCGAGGUAGUUAUUCCUAUUUAAUUAGGGCAAUUUAAAAUUUAUUUCUAGCCGAAAUACUCAGGAAAGGGUAUUCCAUAGAGGGUAAUAGACCCGUAGGCGAAAGGAAUAAAUAAUUGUAGUAAUUAUUCUCAAGUAAGGCGGGGCCGGUGAAACCCCGUCUGAAUCUGGGACCACUACUGUCCCAAGGCUAAAUAUUGUUUUAGACCGAUAGUGAACAAGUACCGUGAGGGAAAGGUGAAAAGUACCCCGAUAAGGGGAAUGAAAUAGUUUCUGAAACCAUAUGCUUACAAAGAGUCAGAGCGGAUCUGGUUUACUGGUUUAGCUGGUAGCCUAGUUGCUUGGUUAUUUAAAAGAAUUCAGUUUUAUCUAAGAGUUUAAGUUAAAGUUAAAUAAUCAUAAAACUAGCAAACUAGAAAACUAGCAAACCAGAUCUGUAAUGGCGUGCUUUUUGCAGAACGAGCCAACGACUUAUUUUAUGCGGCAAGCUUAAGUCCAUUUCUGGAACUAGGCAUAGUGAAAGCGAGGCUUAACCGCCGAUUAGUCGUAUAGAAUAGACCCGAAACCAGGCGAGCUAUACUUGAGCAGGGUGAAUCCCGAGUAAUAUCGGGAGGAGGCCCGAACCCACCGGUCGUUCGACUCCGGGGGAUGACUUGAGUAUAGAGGAGAAAUUCCAAUCGAGCCUGGCAAUAGCUGGUUCUUCUCGAAAUAACUGUAGGGUUAGCGUCGAGCAACUAUUUAGUGGAGGUAGAGCUACUGGAAGAGUGGUCGUGACCUUGUGUCAAGCCCACACUACCAAACUCCGAAUGCCAUUAAAACUAUCUCGACAGUCAGAACUCCGGGGCUAAGCUCGGAGCUCAAAAGGGAAACAGCCCAGAUCGCAAUCUAAGGCCCCUAAAUCUAUGUUAAGUGGAAAAGGUAGUGAAAUUGCUUAAACAGCUAGGAGGUUGGCUUAGAAGCAGCCAUCCUUUAAAGAAAGCGUAAUAGCUCACUAGUCUAGCGAUUUUGCAUCGAAGAUGUAGCGGGGCUAAACAUAGUGCCGAAGAUGCGAAUGUGUCUGGUUUCCUGGUUUGCUAGUAAAACUAGUAUUUUAGUUAUUAAUUUUAAUUAAAGGCUAGUCAACUAGAAAGCUAGAAAACCAGACACGUGGUAGAGAAGCGUUCCUAUCUGCUGCGAAGUCAAGCCGUGAGGUUUGGUGGAGCGAUGGGAAGUGAGAAUGUUGGCAUAAGUAACCGCAAUACGUGUGAGACUCACGUACACCGAAAGUCCAAGGUUUCCUCCGCCAUGAUAAUCAGCGGAGGGUUAGGCGACCCUAAGAUCAGCCCCGCUUUUUUGGAGUGUUAUUCAUUUGCAUCUUAAUGAUUCAUUUGAUUAAUAAUCAAAAGCAAUAGUGCUCCGAAAGAGCGGGGGUAGUCGAUGGAUUGCAGGUUAAUAUUCCUGCCCUACUGUAUUAUUUGAUGGAGUGACGCAUUUUAGUAGUCCUUGCCGGUUAUUGGAUUCCGGUAGUCAUUUUAAGGCGGUUGGAUAGGCAAAUCCGCCAACAUAAGUCAAGAAAUGGCUGGAAUUUCAAGUUUACUUGAGAAAACGAGGAUGAGCAGGGUGCCAGGAAAAGCUUCUAAAAUUAGUAAUACAGUAUCCGUACUUAAAACCGACACAGGUGGACAGGGCGAGUAGCCCAAGGUGAACGGGAGAACCCUUGUUAAGGAACUCGGCAAUACAGCGACCGUAACUUCGGGAUAAGGUCUGCCCGUCUGGUAUCUAGUGGGCUGGUUUGCUGGCGAUUUGGUUUGAGUGUGAAUUUAAAAUUUACAUUAAUUAAACCAGAAAACCAGAAAACCAGAAAACCAGUUACCAGAUGGGCCGCAGCUAAAGAUGCCUGGCGACUGUUUAUCAAAAACACAGCUCUCUGCUAACCCGUAAGGGGAUGUAUAGGGGGUGACGCCUGACCAGUGCUGGAACGUUAACGGGAGAGGUGCAAGCCAAUCCCCGAAGCGCCAGUGAACGUCAGCGAUAACUAUAAUCGUUCUAAGGUAGCGAAAUUCCUUGUCGGCUAAAUACCGACCCGCAUUAAAGGCGUAACGACUUGGCAACUGUCUCAACAAGGGACCCGGUGAAAUUGCAAUGGGGGUGAAGAUGCCCCCUACCUACGGCAAGACGAAAAGACCCCGUGGAGCUUUACUACAACUUGGCAUUGCGUUUGAGAUUAUGCUGCCGAGCAUAGGUGGGAGGCUUUGAAGUCCCGAUUCCGGUCGGGAUGGAGCCAACACUGGAAUACCACCCUGUAUGCUUUCGAACGCUAACCCUGGUCUGUUAUCUGG